RNAcentral lists this long non-coding RNA (4320 nucleotides) under Olea europaea subsp. europaea. Lineage: Eukaryota; Viridiplantae; Streptophyta; Magnoliopsida; Lamiales; Oleaceae. The record is from RNAcentral.
ACAGAUACUAUGCAUGGGAAAAAAGUUUCCAGUCAAAAGUUCAAAGGGUGAGGGAUGAUGAAUUGUUGUGGUUCAGGAAAGCUCAGUUACUCUCAGCGGUUUGACAAUUUGCAAUCAUUGAGUUCCAAUAAGAUAAAUUAGUUUUUCAGGCUACAACUUAUUGUGUCUAUAUUUCUUGUGGGCCUUUACAGUGCAACAGUUUCACACUGAACAGCAUCCCAGUUAUUGUAGCAGUUGUUUCAUUUGGGAUGUUUUCAUUCCAUGGUGGAGAUUUGACGCCUGCAAGAGCUUUUACCUCACUUUCUUUGUUUGCUGUUCUACGGUAUCCCCUGAAAAUGCUUCCUGACUUGAUUACUCAGGUUCAUUCCUUUUUUCAGCUUAUGGACAUAUUCAAAUUUUGGACACCAUUAUUUAUCAUGAAUUGAUGUGUCCAGAAAAUUUACCUUACACUGAAUGUAUUAGCACAAUUUUAUAAACGUACUCCACUUUCAUCUAGGGUUGGUCACCGGUUUGGUUCAGGGUUCCUUUCAUGGAAAACUUUUUGAUUUUCUGCAAAAGAAGAAAAUCAGACUGGACCAAAUCGAACUGGAACUGGUUGUGUCCAGUCCAGUCUGGCUUAAUGUUGCCUGUAAACCCGUUCUGGGCUGGUUAAAUAGUACAUUCGAGUUCAUUGUAAUAAUCUGAAUCUAGCUGAUAUCUUGUCGCUUGCAGGUUGUAAGUGCAAAUGUAUCGUUACAGCGCUUGGAAGAAUUGUUACUUGCUCAAGAGAGAAUUCUUCUACCAAAUCCGCCUCUUGAACCAAAACUUCCUGCCAUCUCAAUCAAGAGCGGAAAUUUUUCAUGGGAUUCUAAGGUCCUCUUUUCUACAUUUUGUGUUUCUUGUGGAGAGUGUUUUAUUUCCUCUAUAAAUCCACUUGUGCUGGUGCUGGUGUUUCACCUAUUUGGGGAUUUUCUCCAUCUCCUACCUGUAGAUUAACAACCAACAAGUAUGUAGAGGGGGGCGUAUGGCUUUACCUCUUAAUUUUUUACAAACAAUCCUGCUUCCAAGACAUCUACAUAGAUGUGGAGAGUUUGUUGUUCUGUUUAGACUAUUUAUAUCAUUUCAUCUUCCCCUUCCCCACCACUUGAUGGUUUAAAAGAGUUUCUUGAAAUAGAUAUAUUAUGUUCAGUUCUAGUCUCUGAAUUGCUCCUUUACAGGCUGCAAGGCUCACAUUAUCAAAUAUAAAUCUGGAUAUCCCCGUUGGCAGCCUAAUUGCAGUAGUAGGUGGCACUGGAGAAGGAAAAACAUCCUUAAUAUCAGCAAUGCUUGGGGAACUUCCUCCUCUGGGAGAUGCAACCGUUGUCAUUAGAGGGACUGUUGCUUAUGUUCCUCAAAUCUCUUGGAUUUUUAAUGCUACAGUGAGCUUAAGUGUCCAUAUUCUUUAAAUAUGUCUAUUACUAAAUUGGAUGCCAAAGUUCACCUUAACAGUUCUUCAUUAAUAAUUUUGAAAACACGCACAAGCGCACGGGAACUCAAUGAUUCUAAAAACAGUGAGUUUUAGCAUUUAAUUUUUGAGGGCAAACGUCUUACUCUGCAAGGCUUUCUGCAGAUACGUGAAAACAUAUUAUUUGGAUCGAGCUUUGAUGCAGAACGAUAUUGGAAAGCAAUAGGUGUCACUGCUUUACACCAUGACCUUGCAUUACUUCCUGUACGAGUUGGAAUUUUAUAUAAUUAUGUUCUUUGUUAUUGACUUUUACUACAUUUUUUAUCUUGUAAUAUUUGUGACAAUGCUUUACCUAUUGUAUUCCAGGGUCAUGACCUAACUGAGAUUGGUGAAAGGGGGGUUAAUAUUAGUGGAGGGCAAAAACAAAGGGUUUCCAUAGCUAGGGCUGUGUACUCCGACUCUGAUGUUUAUGUAUUUGAUGACCCACUAAGUGCUCUAGAUGCUCAAGUUGGCCAGCAGGUAUUUACUGAAUGUCAAAACUAUUCAUCCCUAUACAGUAGUACCAAAAAGAUAUUUACUUCAUGUAAAAAGUAGUGUAUAUUACUGAAGGUGAAAGAGAUACCUCCCAAUAACUGUUAGCCAUUGUUGUUGGCCCUAUAUUGUUGUUACCAAACAUGUUACGAUAUGGGGCUUUUUGUCUUACUAUAAGUAAAAAAGUACUUAUUCUAAAAAUAACUCCUGGCUUUAUGUCAAACCAACUCGUUUUCAACUUGUUAACCAAUAAAAAGUCAAGAAUUUCAAAACUUGUUUUCUGUUAAUAAGUGAACUUUUUAUUGUUACCUAAGCAUGUUCCUUAUCCUCGGAUAAAAGUCUUUUGUGUAUUUCUACUAUGGUUUUGAUAACUGUUGAAAACUCAAAUCUGUGCACUGUGUGAUAAUAACAGUGCACAGUUGUUUCUACUUCCGAGGUACACUUACAGCUAUUUGUAAUGUGUGUAUUAUUGUACAUUGGUAGGACAUACUUGAGGUAAAAAUCCUAACCAUUAACUUCCAGCAAUUUUCCUCCUGAAAAUCAUCUAAAGCCUACAUCUGCAAGUGUAUAGAUGUUUUUAUUCUUAAUAAUAUUUUGGUUUAUGCUCAACCGAGAACUGAAGUUUCUUUUAUAUUAUGUAGAAGAACUUUUGUCUGCUUCAUGUUGCCAAUUCCUCUAUAACUCGUUGUAAAUAUUUGGAUUCUUGUCUGAUUUUUCUUAUUAUAUAUGUCCAGGUUUUUAACAAUUGCAUUAAAGAAGAAUUGCAAGGAAAGACGAGUGCUCGUCACUAAUCAGCUACAUUUUCUUCCUCUAGUUGAUAGAAUAAUUCUGGUCUCAGAAGGUAUGGUAGAAGAGGAGGGCACCUUUGAGGAGCUUUCCAAAAAUGGUACAAUUUUUAAGGAGCUAAUGGAGAAAAUGGGGAAAAUGGAAGGCCAUAUACAUGAAAAUAGAGAUGGGAAGAAUCUUGCCAAUGGACAUUCACAGUUUCCUUCUAAUGAUGUGCUUUAUGAGGUGCCAAUUGAUGUGAACCCAGCACAUAAAAGGAAAGAAGGCAAAUGUGUUCUAAUCAAGCUGGAAGAAAGAGAGACAGGCAUUGUCAGCUGGAAUGUUUUGAUGAGGUCAUAACCAAAAUUAUUUCUCAAUUCUAAUAAAAUAGGUCAUGGAUAGUUCUCCGGAGAUAGAACACAAGAUUUAAUAUCCCAUUUCAAUUACUGUUGAACCUGUCCAAAAUUUGAUUCUAUGACAUUUUAGAGAGAAUCUAUUUUUUGAUAACAUGAUAUGUUAGAAUUCUUACGAUACUGCGAUGGAUUUAUGCUUUUUACUGCUUUGUUCAGGUACACAAGUGCUCUAGGAGGCUCAUGGGUUGUAAUGAUAUUGUUUUCAUGUUAUAUAUUGACUGAAGUUCUGCGAGUUUCAAGUAGCACAUGGUUGAGUAUUUGGACGAAAAAGAGCACUUCAAGUAGUAAUGGACCACAUUUUUAUAUUCUGGUUUAUGCAAUUUUGUCCUCAGGGCAGGUAUGCUUCCUGAUGAUUGUUGGCGUGAAAGCCCCACAUAAUUGUAAAUUGUUAUUUCAUUUAGAGUUUUUAUGUUAAUAUCCUCAGUAAACUGUGAAACCCUGUCUGUCUUUCGUUUAUUGGUUUUUCUGAAGGAUCUUAUUAAUCAUUUUACAUAUGGAGUUAUUACUGGAUGGAAGGUAAAGAUAGUAUUUGUACAUAUGGGUGAUGUGUUAUUAUGGCUGAACAUUAUGCUAUAAACUUUCUGCUGGCAUAUCAAGGAUGUUAAUCUUAGCUGUAGAAAGAUAUUCAGAGGGUCUGGAAAAUUUACUCUUCUUUAGACCAUACACGUACCUGUAUUCCUUAUUCUCUACAUACAUGUUUCUCCUGUUAAUAUUGAUUUUUUAAUCGUCUAUAAUAUUCUUUCAUGAUAUGUAUAUUUUUCAUUCAGCUCCAUCUCAUCUUAAGAGUCAUAUAUUCAGGUGAUAGUGAUGUUGGUGAACUCCUAUUGGUUGAUCACAUCAAGCCUUGGUGCAGCUAAAGGACUUCACGAUUCAAUGCUACAUUCCAUACUCAAAGCUCCAAUGGUAUUUUUCCAUACCAAUCCAACUGGACGGAUCAUCAAUAGAUUUUCCAAGGAUAUUGGUGAUGUUGAUCGCAAUGUUGCAAACUUUGUUAAUGCGUUUCUAAGCCAAAUGUGGCAGCUGCUUUCUACUUUUGUGCUCAUAGGUUAUGUGAGCCCCAUAUCUCUCUGGGGAAUAAUGCCCCUACUUAUCUUACUUAAAGCAGUCUAUCUAUAUUAUCAGGUUCUUCUUCUUCUUCUUCUUCUUCUUCUUCUUCUUCUUCUUCUUCUUCUUCUCUCUCUCUCUCUC